UGCGGAUGUGGCGGAAUUGGUAUACGCGCACGCUUGAGGUGCGUGUGGCAUUGCCUUGCGAGUUCGAGUCUCGCCAUCCGCAU
This 83-nucleotide transfer RNA is filed under the name Raphidiopsis curvata NIES-932. Its description in RNAcentral is "tRNA-Leu". It matches the Rfam family "tRNA". Rfam says of the family: Transfer RNA (tRNA) molecules are approximately 80 nucleotides in length. Lineage: Bacteria; Bacillati; Cyanobacteriota; Cyanophyceae; Nostocales; Aphanizomenonaceae. The record is from RNAcentral.